RNAcentral lists this ribosomal RNA (253 nucleotides) under uncultured bacterium. Its description in RNAcentral is "partial 16S ribosomal RNA". It matches the Rfam family "Bacterial small subunit ribosomal RNA", at positions 524 to 776 of the family's 1533-position model. The record is from RNAcentral.
UACGUAGGGUGCGAGCGUUAAUCGGAAUUACUGGGCGUAAAGGGUGCGCAGGCGGCCGAGCAAGUCGAGUGUGAAAGCCCCGAGCUUAACUUGGGAACUGCGCUCGAAACUACUUGGCUAGAGUGUGGCAGAGGGAGGUGGAAUUCCGCGUGUAGCGGUGAAAUGCGUAGAGAUGUGGAGGAACACCGAUGGCGAAGGCAGCCUCCUGGGCCAGCACUGACGCUCAUGCACGAAAGCGUGGGGAGCAAACAGG